RNAcentral lists this ribosomal RNA (69 nucleotides) under uncultured Symbiodinium. RNAcentral's name for it is "partial 5.8S ribosomal RNA". Lineage: Eukaryota; Dinophyceae; Suessiales; Symbiodiniaceae. The record is from RNAcentral.
AACCAAUGGCCUCCUGAACGCGCAUUGCACUCUUGGGCUUCCCUGAGAGUAUGUUUGCUUCAGUGCUUC